This 29-nucleotide non-coding RNA is filed under the name Rattus norvegicus (Norway rat). Lineage: Eukaryota; Metazoa; Chordata; Mammalia; Rodentia; Muridae. The record is from RNAcentral.
UUGCUAAGCAUUCACUUAUUGACAUACCU